Non-coding RNA from Ixodes scapularis (black-legged tick), 162 nucleotides. NCBI's taxonomy places the organism in Eukaryota, Metazoa, Arthropoda, Arachnida, Ixodida, Ixodidae. The record is from Rfam.
CCGCCCGUCCCUAUACUACCGUUUGAAUGUUUUAGUGAGGUCUUCAGACAGAUACCCGGAGAGGUCUUUUGGUUGCUCCUGUGUGUUGAAAAGAUGAUCGAACUUGAUAAUUUAGAGGAAGUAAAAGUCGUAACAAGGUUUCUGUAGGUGAACCUGGAGAAA